Molecule: small nuclear RNA, 113 nt
Filed under: Lingulaulax polyedra
Lineage: Eukaryota; Dinophyceae; Gonyaulacales; Lingulodiniaceae
Description: Lingulodinium polyedra partial Dictyostelium signal recognition particle
Source: RNAcentral
GCAUGCAGCCGUCGUCAGAUGCCGCCCUCAUCCUCCUCGCCCUCCUCGUGAUCGACAAGUGCGAGUGCUGGCCGAUCGAGGAGGUGGGCGCGGGCUGGGCCGGCUGCUACCCC